This 333-nucleotide ribosomal RNA is filed under the name uncultured bacterium. RNAcentral describes it as "bacterial SSU rRNA". It matches the Rfam family "Bacterial small subunit ribosomal RNA", at positions 568 to 898 of the family's 1533-position model. The record is from RNAcentral.
CGUGUAGGCGGAUACGCAAGCCGGAGGUGAAAUCCCUGGGCUCAACCCGGGACGUGCUUUCGGAACUACGUGUCUUGAGACAGGCAGGGGCAGGUGGAAUUCCAGGUGUAGAGGUGAAAUUCGUAGAGAUCUGGAGGAACACCGGCGGCGAAGGCGGCCUGCUGGGCCUUGUCUGACGCUGAGGCGCGAAAGCGUGGGGAGCAAACAGGAUUAGAUACCCUGGUAGUCCACGCUGUAAACGAUGAGCACUCGAUGUGCGAGGUAUCCACUCCUCGCGUGUCACAGCUAAACGCAUUAAGUGCUCCGCCUGGGGACUACGGUCGCAAGACUAAA